UGGUGGCUAUUUGAGAGGCUGAGGCAGGAGAAUCAUUUGAACCCAGGAGGUGAAGGUUGCAGUGAGCCAAGAUCACACCAUUGCACUCCAGUCUGGGUGACAAGAGCGAAACUCUAUCUCAAAAAAAAGAAAAAAGAAACAAGAUCUUCAAGCUUAAGGAAACAAAAACAAAACUCAGCUGUGUUAAAUCUGUUUUUAGUUGCUAUACAUUUCUGCUCAGCUUCAUGUGAUGCACAUUCAUGUAAUUGUAUCCUAAAUUCCUUUGUACUUUUUAUUUUCUUCCUUGGUCUUCAAUUAUCUUAAGACUACCAAGAAAACAAAAAUUUUAAAAAUCUUCUUCAGCCGAUCAGGCGCAGUGGCUCACGGCUGUAAUCCCAGCACUUGGGGAGGCUGAGGCGGGCAGAUCACGAGGUCAGGAGUUCAACACCAGCCUGGCCAACAUUGUGAAACGUCGUCUCUACUAAAAAUACAAAAAUUAGCUGGGCAUUGUGGCGCGUUCUUGUAAUCCCAGCUGCUCGGGAGGCUGAGGCAGGAGAAUUGCUUGAACCAGGACCCGGGAGGUGUAGGUUGCGGUGAGCGGAGAUCGCGCCACUGCACUCCAGCCUGGGCUAUAGAGCGAGACUCCAUUUAAAAAAAAAAAAAAAAAAUCUGCUUCAGCUAUUCUGUUAAUCUUUUGACAUUACUUAGAUGGUCUGGAAAUAAAUUUUGAGAAUAACAUGAUUAGAAGUGAGAGAGUAUAAGCAUAGUUUUGGAGAUACACUCAGAAUAGCAUUAUAGAUUUGCUCUUUUUACUAAUUGGAAAAAUGGCAGUUGUUGAAUAAUAGUUUUCUUCCGUGACCCUUGUGACUUAAAAAAAAAAAAAAACACUGAAAUGAAAUAAUCGAACCAUUUUCUCUAAACCUUUGAAUCUGAGCUCUGCAGUUAGGUUUAUAAUGGUAUAUGAAACCUAUUAGAUAUAUACUUGGAAGUCAUAUGGGAUACAAACCCUGCUUUUAUUAUCUUCCCCUUUUGACUAACUUGGGUCUCAAGUUUCCUUAAUUACUGCACAGUGGACCUUGAUGUUGCUAUAAAGAAUGUGUAGGGCUGGGCAUGGUGGCUCAUGCCUGUAAUCCCAGCACUUUGGGAGGCCAAGGUAGGCAGAUCACCUGAGGUCAGGAGUUUGAGACCAGCCUGGCCAGCAUGGUGAAACCCCGUCUCUACUAAAAAUACAAAAAAAUUAGCUGGUUGUGGUGGCGAGUGCCUUUAAUCCCAGCUACUCCAGAGGCUGAGGCAGGAGAAUCACUUGAUACAUUUAGUUAGGAGAGAAAAUCAUACUUAUGUUAGUAAUUGCUGCUGUUCUUCAUAUACUUGUGGUUUUGAUUGCCAGCAAAUUCCUAACAUUUUGGAAAAGAAAACAGUAAUGGGAUAAAGGGUAAGGGCUAGAGAGGACUGUUUUAUUUACCUAGAUCUUCAGAGAAGCCUGAAGCCUCUUUUAGGAAGUAACAUUUGAACUGAGAAUGUAAUAAAUACAUUUUCCCUUUCUUCUAGUUCCAAGAUUAUCCCCUAAAACUCAUAGACCCAGGUCUCCCAGACAGAACAGUAUUGGAAAUACCCCCAGUGGGCCAGUUCUUGCUUCUCCCCAAGCUGGUAUUAUUCCAACUGAAGCUGUUGCCAUGCCUAUUCCAGCUGCAUCUCCUACGCCUGCUAGUCCUGCAUCGAACAGAGCUGUUACCCCUUCUAGUGAGGCUAAAGAUUCCAGGCUUCAAGAUCAGAGGCAGAACUCUCCUGCAGGGAAUAAAGAAAAUAUUAAACCCAAUGAAACAUCACCUAGCUUCUCAAAAGCUGAAAACAAAGGUAUAUCACCAGUUGUUUCUGAACAUAGAAAACAGAUUGAUGAUUUAAAGAAAUUUAAGAAUGAUUUUAGGUUACAGCCAAGUUCUACUUCUGAAUCUAUGGAUCAACUACUAAACAAAAAUAGAGAGGGAGAAAAAUCAAGAGAUUUGAUCAAAGACAAAAUUGAACCAAGUGCUAAGGAUUCUUUCAUUGAAAAUAGCAGCAGCAACUGUACCAGUGGCAGCAGCAAGCCGAAUAGCCCCAGCAUUUCCCCUUCAAUACUUAGUA
RNAcentral lists this small RNA (2100 nucleotides) under Pan troglodytes (chimpanzee). Its description in RNAcentral is "retained intron". Lineage: Eukaryota; Metazoa; Chordata; Mammalia; Primates; Hominidae. The record is from RNAcentral.